Long non-coding RNA from Humulus lupulus (European hop), 1210 nucleotides. RefSeq lists it as uncharacterized. The record is from RefSeq and is a predicted model, not a curated record. The transcript has 4 exons. NCBI's taxonomy places the organism in Eukaryota, Viridiplantae, Streptophyta, Magnoliopsida, Rosales, Cannabaceae.
UAUUAAAACAAAAAAAAUGUCUUAUCUACACAAAAGAGAUAUUUUUAAAAAAAUAUAUUUUUUACAUUCGAAAUUUGAAAUUAUAAGAUAAUAUGUCACUACAAGAAUAAAGCCUAUUAGCGGCGUUAUUAUUAGCGGCGGACUUGGGGGUCCGCCGUUAAUAAUAAGGGAGUAUUUAAAAAAAUAUUAAAAAAUUUAUUAGCGGCGGACUGUACCAUUAGUAGCGGCGGGCCUCCGCCGCUAAUAUUCCAAAAUAAAUGCUCGGGAACAGUUUUUGAAAAUUUAUUAGCGGCGGAUAAUCACCUAUAUUAGAGGCGGACUAUCCGCCGCUAAUAGUAUCAGCGGCGGGUAAUCACCUUUUUUUAGAGGCGGGCCCCGCCGCUAAUAAUAUUAAUGGCGGCGGGAGACGAUAAUAGCGGCGGGUCCCGCCGCUAAUGCUCAACAAUAAUAGGCAUUUGCACAACCCUUUCUUCUCCGCGUCUCUUCUCUUCUCCGAAGGAAAACUUCUCUUCUCCGACGAGAAAUUUUGCACAGGUUUGUUUUGGGUCUAUUAUAUAUAUAUAUUAAUUCUCUUUAUUUCUUUUCUUUUUUCGUUUGGUUUUGAUAAACAAACUCCAUUUCUUGUUUUCUUUUUUGAUAAACAACUCUAUUGUUUGUUCUUUUCUUUUUUGGGUUUAGCAGUCGGUGAGCAUUCCGUGAGGCAUCUUCCGUGAGCAUUCCUGUGGCUCUUCCUGAGGACAGCGACACACCCACGACCCCGACACACACACGACCUUGGCACACCCUCAACAGCCCCGUCGACGAGAAGAAAAGGUCGUGGCCCUGCUAGUAAUAAUGUUCUUGAAGAACGAAGGAAAAAAGCUGGGAAACCAUUGGAUCUAGAGCUUGAUCCUGUGACCAACAAAGUGGUUGGGCAGGAGGAUCAAGCUUUUAUUCGCAUGUUGGGAACUCUAGUUUCCAUGUUGUGUCCGGGGCAUUAUUUGGAUUUUGCUGAUGUACCUCAACAGUUUAAGGAUCAAGUGCUUGAUCGUAUGAGGUAUUACUAUAAUAUAGACGGUCAUCCACAACGUGAGUCAAUUCUGGCAACUCUCAACAAGGAGAUGGGGGAAAGAUAUCGCGAGAGAAAGAACUAUAGACAUAGACACUUCAAAAAUCAUUAUGCUGGACCAGAAGAUUUGGAGAAUGUCCUCUCUAAGCCACCUAACCAUUG